GACGAACGCUGGCGGCGUGCUUAACACAUGCAAGUCGAACGGAAAGGCCGUGCUUUUGUUGCGUGCUCGAUUGUCCAACGCUUGAGUAACACGUGAGUAACCUGCCCUUGACUUUGGGAUAACGUCAGGAAACUGGGGUUAAUACCGGAGAGGACCUCCUGCGGCUUGGUGGGGGUGGGCAAUUUUGGGCGGGCGGGGUGGGCCUGGGGGCUGAUCAGCUUGUGGGGGGGGGAGUGGCUUAGCACGGGUUUGACGGGUAGCCGGCCUGGGCGGGUGACCCGCCACAUUGGGAGUGAGAUCCGGCCCCGCCUGCUACGGGAGGCAGAGGUGGGGAAUAUUGCACAAUGGGCGGGAGCCUAAUGCCGCAACGCCGCGUGCGGGAUGACGGCCUUCGGGUUGUAAACCGCUUUCGCCUGUGCCGAAGCGUGAGUGACGGUAAUGGGUAAAGAAGCACCGGCUAACUACGUG
This 468-nucleotide ribosomal RNA is filed under the name uncultured bacterium. Its description in RNAcentral is "partial 16S ribosomal RNA". It matches the Rfam family "Bacterial small subunit ribosomal RNA", at positions 28 to 507 of the family's 1533-position model. The record is from RNAcentral.